Molecule: long non-coding RNA, 226 nt
Filed under: Capsicum annuum
Lineage: Eukaryota; Viridiplantae; Streptophyta; Magnoliopsida; Solanales; Solanaceae
Description: long non-coding RNA (CANN_LNC008700)
Source: RNAcentral
UCCUAAUAACUCUAUUACAAGACAAGCGUAGUAACUAUACUACACUAUCAACUAACAAACUCUAGUCAUUGAUCUAAGAUAACUUUACCCAGGACUCAACACCACCCACGAUUAUAACACUUACUUGACCAACUUACAAAUGACUCGAACAACUAACUUUAGCUAUUUUGACUUAAGCUAAGACUUGGACAAGCUACACAUCUACUAUCCUUCAAAAUCAGGAGUA